AAGUGGCGGCGCUGCCCGGGGCGGGGAGGGGGACUGCGCGGUCCCUGACCCCGUCACCACGGGCCUGCACUCCGGGCCCGGGCUCGUCUCUCCCAUCGGCUUAACCAUCUUUUGGAGGUGGGAGAUGUGUGAUGGAGACAGAAGAGAGGUUCUCACUAAGUUGGCGACGUCAGGGUUAACUAGGAGUGAAUUGGGGCGCCGUUCCGUAAGGACGGGAUCCCCUCUCCCUCCGACCAUCCUUAGGUCCUAUUCGCUGAGGUCUCAGAUUCUGGGAGGUCCCGGGAGGCCUAGAAAUGGGAGAUGUCAGAUUGGGGGGUCCUGGGCCCCAAAGCCUAAAUCUUGCCCUCCCUACCCUAGAGCUAAGUGACCAUGCCCAGACUUCAUUUGACUGCAUGGACAAAGGAAAGUGCCCCCAAAAGAGACCAUCUCCAGAAGCAGAGGCUCUGGCUGUAAACGGUGCCAGUGGCCGGCCUGGCAGGGGCCAGCUCUUCCUAGAGGCUCAGGGGCUCCUCCAGGAGCCAUCUCACAGUCAGUCUGCAGCCUACACCAAGGCUGUGCCCUUCCACACCUCUUCCUUUCCUCUUCCCACCACCCACUCACUCACUAGUCUUUGCCCUUCUUCCUUCCUCUCCGAAGCAGGCUCCUUUCCAUUAGUGAGAGCUGCAAUUAAUGCAGUCAUCUUCAUAAAGCAAACACAUAACCCCGUGCCCAGAAUCCGACCUGCGACCAUCUCACCAGCAAUGACUGCUCUCCUGAAACACUGAGAAGGGAAUUAACUUGGUUCUAAUUAGGAAUCCCCCAGCUGUGUUUGAAGUCUGCAAGUCCAAACAGCAGACGUGGCUGAGGAUGGCGGAAUCCAACCACCCUCCAUCUCCAUCUCCAGCGCUCUUCCAUUAUUGCCCGCUGUCUGCCACAUCAAACAGAACAAGACUGCUACAUGGAUUUCUUUCCCUUUCGUCUCUUCCUUUCACUCCAGGGCCCCCAGUUUUCUGAGUAACUUAAAUCAUUACUGAAAGAUGUCUAGGUUCACAGACCAAACCCUUUCAAAGCAAGGUGUGGGCUCCCAAAAGUUGAGCUCAGAAGAGCACAGAAAAAAACUUUCCCAGUCCCAAGAUUUAGCCAAUCACACAUUCAGGGAAACAAUCCACUACUUUUCGAGGUCUAACCUUCCUUCCCUGACACCUCCUUGGGGCCUGGCUGGCCCAGGAUCCCAUUUCUGAAUUCUCUUUGGGCCCCAAGACUUCAGUAUGACCUUCACUGUGCUACAGGCAGAUCCCGUCUCCUCAGUAGACCAUCUGUUCUAUCUUACCCAUCAGGCCGGUCACAGUGGCUCACACCUAUAAUCUCAGCACUUUGGGAGGCCGAGG
This is a long non-coding RNA of Cebus imitator (Panamanian white-faced capuchin), 1367 nucleotides long. RefSeq lists it as uncharacterized. NCBI's taxonomy places the organism in Eukaryota, Metazoa, Chordata, Mammalia, Primates, Cebidae. The record is from RefSeq and is a predicted model, not a curated record. The transcript has 3 exons.